CGUGUGCGGGAAGAGGCUUCGGNUUAAAAACCGCUUAUGUACGGGAAGAAAUCCUCUGGGCUAAUACCCCGGGGGGAUGACGGUACCGGAAGAAUAAGCACCGGCUAACUACGUGCCAGCAGCCGCGGUAAUACGUAUGGUGCGAGCGUUAAUCGGAAUUACUGGGCGUAAAGCGUGCGCAGGCGGUUGUGCAAGACAGAUGUGAAAUCCCCGGGCUUAACCUGGGAACUGCAUUUGUGACUGCACGGCUAGAGUGCGGCAGAGGGGAGUGGAAUUCCGCGUGUAGCAGUGAAAUGCGUAGAUAUGCGGAGGAACACCGAUGGCGACGGCAGGUCCCUGGGCCUGCACUGACGCUCAUGCACGAAAGCGUGGGGAGCAAACAGGAUUAGAUACCCUGGUAGUCCACGCCCUAAACGAUGUCAACUGGUUGUUGGUCCUUCACUGGAUCAGUAACGUAGCUAACGCGUGAAGUUGACCGACUGGGGAGUACGGCCGCAAUGUUGAAACUCAAAGGAAUUGACGGGGACCCACACAAGCG
Molecule: ribosomal RNA, 538 nt
Filed under: uncultured bacterium
Lineage: Bacteria
Description: bacterial SSU rRNA
Rfam family: Bacterial small subunit ribosomal RNA
Source: RNAcentral